This 510-nucleotide ribosomal RNA is filed under the name Triticum aestivum (bread wheat). RNAcentral's name for it is "partial small subunit ribosomal RNA". Lineage: Eukaryota; Viridiplantae; Streptophyta; Magnoliopsida; Poales; Poaceae. The record is from RNAcentral.
AUGGUUCGCAAGAAGGUGCCCCUCCGGUACAUCGGCGAGGACUCCAUCCGUCGCCGUACCUACGAGACGCGCCGCAACUACCUGAUGAAGAAGGUGGGCGAGUUGGGCAUCCUGUGCAACACCAAGGCCUGCGUGCUGGUGUAUGACGAGGGCGCGUCGGAGCCGGAUGUUUACCCGUCCCAUGCUGAGGCGGUGGCUAUGUUGAAUCGAUACAAGGCCAUGCCGAACAUGCCGCAGUUCAAGAAGACGACGAGCCAGGAGGAGUUCCUCACCAAGUGCCUCGCCAAGCUCCAGCAUCAGGCCAACAAGCUCCAGAGCGAGCGUGAGGACCGCAACAUCAGGGCCCUCCUGCACAAGGCCAUGCUCGGUGGCAACCUCAGCGCCGAGGAGGUCGCCAGGGUUGGUUGUAAGCCGGGGGAGAUCCACAAGAGCCUCGUCGAGCGCAUCGCUAAAAGCAACUCGCAGCCGCCGGUCUUCCAGUCCCAAGCGCCAUACAUCACCGGCAGCGCC